GUGUUUGCUUCAGGAGCACACAUACUAAAAAUUGGAAUGAUACAGAGAUUAGCAUGACCCCGGUGCACGAGUGACACACAAAUUCAUGAAGUGUUCCAUAUUUUA
This 105-nucleotide small nuclear RNA is filed under the name Salvator merianae (Argentine black and white tegu). The record is from RNAcentral. Lineage: Eukaryota; Metazoa; Chordata; Lepidosauria; Squamata; Teiidae.